Molecule: ribosomal RNA, 497 nt
Filed under: uncultured bacterium
Lineage: Bacteria
Description: partial 16S ribosomal RNA
Rfam family: Bacterial small subunit ribosomal RNA
Source: RNAcentral
GACGAACGCUGGCGGCGUGCCUAAUACAUGCAAGUAGAACGCUGAAGGAAGGAGCUUGCUCUUUCUGGAUGAGUUGCGAACGGGUGAGUAACGCGUAGGUAACCUGCCUGGUAGCGGGGGAUAACUAUUGGAAACGAUAGCUAAUACCGCAUAAAAUUGAUUAUUGCAUGAUAGUCAAUUAAAAGGUGCAACUGCACCACUACCAGAUGGACCUGCGUUGUAUUAGCUAGUUGGUGGGGUAACGGCUCACCAAGGCGACGAUACAUAGCCGACCUGAGAGGGUGGUCGGCCACACUGGGACUGAGACACGGCCCAGACUCCUACGGGAGGCAGCAGUAGGGAAUCUUCGGCAAUGGACGGAAGUCUGACCGAGCAACGCCGCGUGAGUGAAGAAGGUUUUCGGAUCGUAAAGCUCUGUUGUAAGAGAAGAACGAGUGUGAGAGUGGAAAGUUCACACUGUGACGGUACCUUACCAGAAAGGGACGGCUAACUACGUG